UACGGAGGGUGCGAGCGUUGUCCGGAAUCACUGGGCGUAAAGGGCGCGUAGGCGGCGCGGGUAGUCAUCGGUGAAAGUUCAGGGCUCAACUCUGAAUCGGCCGGUGAUACUCCCGUGCUCGAGCACUGUAGAGGCAGGUGGAAUUCCCGGUGUAGCGGUGGAAUGCGUAGAGAUCCGGAAGAACACCGGUGGCGAAGGCGGCCUGCUGGGCAGUAGCUGACGCUGAUGCGCGACAGCGUGGGGAGCAAACAGG
RNAcentral lists this ribosomal RNA (253 nucleotides) under uncultured bacterium. RNAcentral's name for it is "partial 16S ribosomal RNA". It matches the Rfam family "Bacterial small subunit ribosomal RNA", at positions 524 to 776 of the family's 1533-position model. The record is from RNAcentral.